Molecule: ribosomal RNA, 460 nt
Filed under: uncultured bacterium
Lineage: Bacteria
Description: partial 16S ribosomal RNA
Rfam family: Bacterial small subunit ribosomal RNA
Source: RNAcentral
CCUACGGGAGGCAGCAGUGAGGAAUAUUGGUCAAUGGACGCAAGUCUGAACCAGCCAUGCCGCGUGCAGUCUUCCUUCUCUCUGCUUUUUCCCCUGCUUUUGUACGAGGGUAAACCCCGAUACGUGUAUAGGGUUGAAAGUAUCGUACGAAUAAGGAUAGGCUAACCCCGUGCCAGCAGCCGCGGUAAUACGGAGGAUCCGCGCGUUAUCCGGAUUUAUUGGGUUUAACGGGUGCGUAGGCGGUUUGAUAAGUUAGAGGUGAAAUGUCGGGGCUCAACCCCGAAACUGCCUCUAAUACUGUUGGACUAGAGAAUAGUUGCGGUAGGCGGAAUGUAAGGUGUAGCAGUGAAAUGCUUAGAGAUCAUACAGAACACCGAUGGCGAAGGCAGCUUACCAAACUAUAUCUGACGUUGAGGCACGAAAGCGUGGGUAGCAAACAGGAUUAGAUACCCCAGUAGUC